GAGGGUAUAGCUCAAUUGGUACAGCCCAUGCUUAGUAUACACAAGGUCCUGGGUUCAAUCCCCAGUACCUCCU
This 73-nucleotide transfer RNA is filed under the name Camelus bactrianus (Bactrian camel). It matches the Rfam family "tRNA". From Rfam's summary of the family: Transfer RNA (tRNA) molecules are approximately 80 nucleotides in length. Their secondary structure includes four short double-helical elements and three loops (D, anti-codon, and T loops). Further hydrogen bonds mediate the characteristic L-shaped molecular structure. tRNAs have two regions of fundamental functional importance: the anti-codon, which is responsible for specific mRNA codon recognition, and the 3' end, to which the tRNAs corresponding amino acid is attached (by aminoacyl-tRNA synthetases). tRNAs cope with the degeneracy of the genetic code in two manners: having more than one tRNA (with a specific anti-codon) for a particular amino acid; and 'wobble' base-pairing, i.e. permitting non-standard base-pairing at the 3rd anti-codon position. Lineage: Eukaryota; Metazoa; Chordata; Mammalia; Artiodactyla; Camelidae. The record is from Rfam by way of RNAcentral. RNAcentral also lists the same sequence under 2 other names.